RNAcentral lists this unclassified non-coding RNA (240 nucleotides) under soil metagenome. RNAcentral's name for it is "partial contains 5.8S ribosomal RNA, internal transcribed spacer 2, and large subunit ribosomal RNA". The record is from RNAcentral.
AACACUGUUAACCUGCGGUACCUGCGGAGGGAUCAUUAACAAGAGUCGGUUCGCACCUUCUCAUACCAAAUGUGCACUUGCCUGUUUGACUCACCGCGGCUUGACGCGAGCUCAGCUGUCUGUGCGCUACGAAAGUGGUGUGCGACUGGCUGGGCGGACGCCAACUGCGGUGAUGUUGUUUUCAACUGUCGUGUGUAUGUUAUUAUCGAAUGACUUUUGUCUUUUGUAAUGAUGAUGUGU